RNAcentral lists this ribosomal RNA (385 nucleotides) under uncultured bacterium. RNAcentral's name for it is "bacterial SSU rRNA". It matches the Rfam family "Bacterial small subunit ribosomal RNA", at positions 29 to 416 of the family's 1533-position model. The record is from RNAcentral.
AUUGAACGCUGGCGGCAUGCCUUACACAUGCAAGUCGAACGGCAGCACGGGAGCGAUCCUGGUGGCGAGUGGCGAACGGGUGAGUAAUACAUCGGAACGUGCCCAGUAGUGGGGGAUAACCCGGCGAAAGCCGGACUAAUACCGCAUACGACCUACGGGUGAAAGCGGGGAUCGCAAGACCUCGCGCUAUCGGAGCGGCCGAUGUCAGAUUAGCUAGUUGGUGGGGUAAAGGCCUACCAAGGCGACGAUCUGUAGCUGGUCUGAGAGGACGACCAGCCACACUGGGACUGAGACACGGCCCAGACUCCUACGGGAGGCAGCAGUGGGGAAUUUUGGACAAUGGGCGCAAGCCUGAUCCAGCCAUGCCGCGUGCGGGAAGAAGGCC